RNAcentral lists this unclassified non-coding RNA (400 nucleotides) under soil metagenome. RNAcentral describes it as "partial contains 5.8S ribosomal RNA, internal transcribed spacer 2, and large subunit ribosomal RNA". The stretch from base 1 to 122 matches the Rfam family "5.8S ribosomal RNA", at positions 35 to 154 of the family's 154-position model. The record is from RNAcentral.
GAUGAAGAACGCAGCGAAAUGCGAUACUUGGUGUGAAUUGCAGAAUCCCGUGAACCAUCGAGUCUUUGAACGCAAGUUGCGCCUCAAGCCAUUAGGUUGAGGGCACGUCUGCCUGGGCGUCACAUAUCGUUGCCUGAUGCCAGUUUCCUCGUGAUGGGUGACUGUGCAGGGCGAAUGAUGGCUUCCCGUGAGCAUUGUUGCCUCAUGGUUGGUUGAAAAUUGAGUCCUUGGUAGGGAGCGCCGUGAUAGAUGGUGGUUGAGUGACGAACGAGACCCAAUCAUGUGAGACCCCUACCGAAUUUGGCCUUCAUGACCCACAUUCGUCUUUGGAACGCUCAUGACGAGACCUCAGGUCAGGCGGGGCUACCCGCUGAGUUUAAGCAUAUCAAUAAGCGGAGGA